AGAGUUUGAUCAUGGCUCAGGACGAACGCUGGCGGCGUGCCUAAUGCAUGCAAGUCGAGCGGGCUACGAUCUUCGGAUUGUAGCUUAGCGGCGAACGGGUGAGUAACACGUAGGUAAUCUACCCUUCAGAGGAGGACAACCUCAGGAAACUGAGGCUAAACCUUCAUACGUUCACUGGUAGGGAUACUGGUGAAGAAAGAGUUACCUUAGUGGUAGCUGCUGAAGGAUGAGCCUGCGGCCCAUCAGGUAGUUGGUGAGGUAACGGCUCACCAAGCCGAAGACGGGUAACCGGUCUGAGAGGAUGUCCGGUCACACUGGGACUGAGACACGGCCCAGACUCCUACGGGAGGCAGCAGCAGGGAAUCUUGGGCAAUGGGCGAAAGCCUGACCCAGCGACGCCGCGUGGAGGAAGAAGUCCUUCGGGGCGUAAACUCCUGGACUGGGGGACGAGGAAGGACGGUACCCCAGUAGAAAGGGACGGCUAACUACGUGCCAGCAGCCGCGGUAAAACGUAGGUCCCGAGCGUUGUUCGGAUUCACUGGGUGUAAAGGGCGCGUAGGUGGUUGUCUGUGUCUCAUGUGAAAACUCAGGGCUCAACUCUGAGAUUGCGUGGGAAACUAGGCAGCUAGAGGACGGUAGAGGGGAGUGGAAUUCCCGGUGUAGCGGUAAAAUGCGUAGAUAUCGGGAGGAACACCGGUGGCGAAGGCGGCUCUCUGGGGCCGAUCCUGACGCUGAGGCGCGAAAGCUAGGGGAGCGAACCGGAUUAGAUACCCGGGUAGUCCUAGCCGUAAACGAUGGAUACUAGGUGUAGGAGGUAUCGACCCCUUCUGUGCCGGAGUUUAACACAAUAAGUAUCCCGCCUGGGGGAGUACGGCCGCAAGUUGAAACUCAAAGGAAUUGACGG
RNAcentral lists this ribosomal RNA (904 nucleotides) under uncultured bacterium. RNAcentral describes it as "bacterial SSU rRNA". It matches the Rfam family "Bacterial small subunit ribosomal RNA", at positions 8 to 916 of the family's 1533-position model. The record is from RNAcentral.